GAUCUGAUUGGAACAUGUCACCCCACUAUCUCUGAGGUUGAUUCAGCUGAUCUGGCUGGCUAGAUCGAGUGCCCUUCCU
RNAcentral lists this small nuclear RNA (79 nucleotides) under Erinaceus europaeus (western European hedgehog). RNAcentral's name for it is "7SK RNA". It matches the Rfam family "7SK RNA", at positions 13 to 95 of the family's 331-position model. From Rfam's summary of the family: 7SK was discovered as an abundant small nuclear RNA in the mid-70s but a possible function has only recently been suggested. Lineage: Eukaryota; Metazoa; Chordata; Mammalia; Eulipotyphla; Erinaceidae. The record is from Rfam by way of RNAcentral.